AAGAUUCUAUCCCCAGAAUCUCGCCUUACUUUAAUCAAAUAGAUGAGAAAAUUUUUUCUUCAUCUUUUCUCCUAGUUCCCACGUUACUUCUUCAGCAUCGUGGCUCUUCCAUAAUACCUUUACUAAUGGUAUUACCUUGUUCCUUUUAAUCAAUGAUCUGCAUCGGCGAUUCUUCAUAUAUUAAGUCUUUCUCGAUAUGAAUCGGCUUAUACUCGAUUACAUGCUUAUAGUCUGGCUUAUAUGGACG
Molecule: long non-coding RNA, 247 nt
Filed under: Panax ginseng (ginseng)
Lineage: Eukaryota; Viridiplantae; Streptophyta; Magnoliopsida; Apiales; Araliaceae
Description: long non-coding RNA (PGIN_LNC011052)
Source: RNAcentral